Solanum dulcamara is the source of this 1743-nucleotide RNA transcript. It is a transcript of the gene named photosystem II CP47 reaction center protein-like, with no coding region annotated. The record is from RefSeq and is a predicted model, not a curated record. Lineage: Eukaryota; Viridiplantae; Streptophyta; Magnoliopsida; Solanales; Solanaceae. The transcript has 2 exons.
AUGGUAGGUGCAUCACUAUCCAAAACAGCUGUAUUUUCAGUUGAUGCAGCAGUUGGUCCCUCAACAACUCAGUGUCUAUUUAUCUUUGAUAUAAGGGGUAUUUCCACUGGUUUGCCUUGGUAUCAUGUUCAUACCAUUGUAUUGAAUGAUCCCGGUUGGUUUCUUUUUAUUCAUAUAAUGCAUACAGCUCUGGUUGUUGGUUGGGCCGGUUCGAUGGCUUUAUAUGAAUUAGCGGUUAUUGAUCAUUCUGAUUCUGUUCUUGAUCCAAUGUGAAGACAGGUUAUGUUUGUUAUACCCUUCAUGACUCAUUUAGGAAUAACCAAUUCAUGGGGCAGUUGGAGUAUCACGGGGGGACUGUAACGAAUCUAGGUAUUUAGAGUUAUGAAGGUAUAGUAGGAGCACAUAUUGUGUUUUCUGGCUUAUGCUUUUUGGCAGCUAUCUGGCAUUGAGUGUAUUGGGAUCUAGAAAUAUUUUUUGAUGAACUUACAGGAAAAUGCUCUUUGGAUUUGCCAAAGAUCUUUGGAAUUCAUUUAUUUCUCUCAGUGGUAGCUUUCUUUGGUUUUAGUGCACUUUAUGUAACAGGCUUGUAUGGUCUCGGAAUCUGUGUGUCCAAUCCUUAUGGACUAACGAUAAAAGCACAACAUAUAAAUCUAGCGUGGGGCAUGGAAGGUUUUGAUCCUUUUGUUCCAGGAGGAAUAACCUCUUAUCAUAUUUCAGCAGGAACAUUGGCCAUAUUAGCAGGCCUAUUCCAUCUUAGCGUCCAUCUGCCACAAUGUCUAUACAAAAGAUUGCGUAUGGGAAAUAUUGAAACCAUCCUUUCCAAUAGUAUCACUGCUAUCUUUUUUUCAACUUAUUAUGUGGUAUGGUUCGGCAACUACCCUAAUUGAAUUAUUUGGGCCCACUCGUUAUCAAUGGGAUCAGGGGUACUUCCAACAAGAAAUAUAUUGAAGAGUUAGUGCUAGGCUAGCAGAAAAUCAAAGUUUAUUAGAAGCCUGGUCUAAAAUUCCUGAAAAAUUAGUUUUUUACGAUUGCAUUGGCAAUAAUCUGAUAAAAGGAAGAUUAUUCAGAGCAGGUUCAAUAGAUAACGGGGAUGAAAUAGCGGUUGGAUAGUUAGGACACCCUAUCUUUAGAGAUAAGAAAAGGUGUGAAAUUUUUGUAUGUCGUAUGCCUAUUUUUUUUAAACAUUUUCGGUCGUUUUGUAGACGGCGAUGAAAUUGUUAGAGCCGAUAUUCCUUUUAGAAGGGAAAGAUCAAAGUAUAGUGUUGAACAAGUAGGUGUAACUAUUGAGUUCUAUGGCGUUGAACUCAACGGUGUCAUUUAUAGCGAUCCUGCUACUGUGAAAAAAUAUGCUAGACGGGAACAAUUGGGUGAAAUUUUUGAAUUAGAUCAUGCUACUUUGAAAUUCGAUGGUCUUUUUCCUAGUAGUCCAAGGGGUUGGUUUACUUUUGGGCAUGCUUCAUUUGCUUUGCUCUUCUUCUUCGGACACAUUUGGCAUGGUGCUAGAACCUUGUUCAGAGAUGUUUUUUCUAGUAUUGACCCAGAUUUAGAUGUUCAAUUCGAAUUUGGAGCAUUCCAAAAAUUUGGAGUGCCAACUACAAAAAGACAGGCAGCCUGAUACAACAUUGCCUUGGUAUCUUUCUUUCGCCCCUAUUUUCUUUAAUUUACUUUUAUUGACAUAGGGUACCAGAGAAAUAUUUAUUUGAAUCAACUUUGUUUUUAUUCUUGUUCGUUCUUUAUUUGGAA